RNAcentral lists this ribosomal RNA (468 nucleotides) under uncultured bacterium. Its description in RNAcentral is "partial 16S ribosomal RNA". It matches the Rfam family "Bacterial small subunit ribosomal RNA", at positions 28 to 507 of the family's 1533-position model. The record is from RNAcentral.
GACGAACGCUGGCGGCGUGCUUAACACAUGCAAGUCGAACGGAAAGGCCCUGCUCUUGUGGGGUGCUCGAGUGGCGAACGGGUGAGUAACACGUGAGUAACCUGCCCUUGACUUUGGGAUAACUUCAGGAAACUGGGGCUAAUACCGGAUAGGAGCUCCUGCUGCACGGUGGGGGUUGGAAAGUUUCGGCGGUUGGGGCUGGACUGGCGGGUUAUGAGCUUGUUGGUGGAGUAGUGGCUUACCAAGGGUUUGACGGGUAGCCGGCCUGGGAGGUGAGCCGGCCACAUGGGGACUAAGGGAGGCCGCAGACGCGAAUGGGAGGCAGCGGGGGGAAGUAUUGCAGAGUGGCCGGACGCGUGAUGUGGAGGGGCCCCGUGCGGGAAGACGGCUUACGGGUUGAAAACCGCUUUGGCAUUAACCGAGCAGUGAGUGACGGUAACUGAUAAGAAAGCCCCGGCUAACUACGUG